This 1537-nucleotide long non-coding RNA is filed under the name Homo sapiens (human). RNAcentral's name for it is "HSALNT0370283". The record is from RNAcentral. Lineage: Eukaryota; Metazoa; Chordata; Mammalia; Primates; Hominidae.
AUUUUUAACAUCUUACAUUAUUAUGGUGCAUUUGUUACAAUUAAUCAAUCACGGUUCAUAAACUAUUAUUAACUUAGUUUAUUCAGAUUGUUAUUCAGAUUGCCUUAGUUUUUACCUAAUGUAUUUUUUCUGUUCCAGAAUUCCAUCUAGGAUGUCACAUUAAUUUAAUAGUCACAUCUCCUUAGGUUCCUCUUGAUAGAGAUUCUUAGACUUUUCUUGUUUUUGGUGACUUUGACAGUUUUGAAGAGUACCGGGCAGAUAUUGUGGAGGACAUCCCUUAGUAUGGUUAUAGAUGAUGUUUUCCUCAGAUUAGACUGGAGCGAUCUGUUCUUGGGAUGAAGACCACAGAGGCAACAGAAACAAUCUUUGUCCAACCAGCAAAAGAGGGAUUUGGAGAAAGAAAAUGAAGCAGCUUAUGGAACAGAAGAAUGCAGAUGUGACGGUUGAUAGACCAGCUGCUAUAUUGGACUAUGAAGACAAGGGUCACCCCUCUGGAUCGGACAGUGUGGAGUUAGAAGAAGCUCAGCUCCCUGAGGAUUUUGUGGAGUACAUCCAUACCAGCCCAUACAGGCUGACUGCAGACAUUAAUUUUAUGUCAUGCCCCUGGAAGCUGAGCCCAGUUCAAAUGGCUGCUAUCUUUCUAUCUACUGUGUAGAGAAUACUGGAGGGACAAGAGUGAAAAUAGGGAUAAUCUCUAUUUCAUACAUAGGAACCCUGAAGCCUGAAGAAGUUAAAUGAAGUACAUUAGGAUUGUGGGUAAAAGUACUGGCUUUAAAGUUAGUAAACUUGUCUGUAUUUAAAUCCUGCCUCCAAUACUUCCUAACCUUGUAACCUUGAGCAAUUCCUUAGCCUGGGUAAGCCUGAUUUCCUCAUCUGUAGAAUGGGAUGAUAACAGUGCCUAUCUUAGACUAUGAUUGUGUGUAUUAAAUAAAAUAAACCAUGAAAAGACCUAACACAGCCUGAUAGAAUUGGCAUUCCUCGCCUGCCAGUUCCCUGUCCCUCCUUCGCCGGACCCUUUCCCACCUCUUGCAUCUGUCCAGGAAAUGGUGAUCCUUCCAAGGUGGGUGAACAGCGCAAUCAGUUAAGAGAAAUGCCUUUUGUUACGAAGAGAGGGCAAAAAGAGGGAGAGAAGGGAGAAAGAAGGAAGCCUUAGCACACGAAUGGAUAUGAUGGACUUUCAAGUACCCAGAGGUUUCAGCUCACAAGAGACAAAUGUCAGUAGUGAGCCUGGAGUACUGAGAGAUCUAAGAAAAGAAGGCCGGAAGUUCAGCCGUCAGCCUCCAAGCUGUUCCCUUGCCAAUCCCCUUCUUUUUUCUCCCUUUCUCUAUCACCUCUUCUCUUUCCUCUUCCAAAAUAAAAGUAGGAAGCGUGAAAAGCUUGGUAAAUCAUCUGGUUUUCAGGCUGUUUUUCCUUGGAGUGGCUAAGACUGCUUUUUAUUGGCUUGGCAGGAUGUUUUGAGAUUGUGUGGCGAGGACUCCUCUGUGUGUGUGCCCGUGUGUGUGUGCGCGCGCGUGUGAGUGUUUAUCUGAGUACUGGG